Molecule: ribosomal RNA, 468 nt
Filed under: uncultured bacterium
Lineage: Bacteria
Description: partial 16S ribosomal RNA
Rfam family: Bacterial small subunit ribosomal RNA
Source: RNAcentral
GACGAACGCUGGCGGCGUGCUUAACACAUGCAAGUCGAACGGAAAGGCCCUGCUUUUGUGGGGUGCUCGAGUGGCGAACGGGUGAGUAACACGUGAGUAACCUGCCCUUGACUUUGGGAUAACUUCAGGAAACUGGGGCUAAUACCGGAUAGGAGCUCCUGCUGCAUGGUGGGGGUUGGAAAGUUUCGGCGGUUGGGGAUGGACUCGCGGCUUAUCAGCUUGUUGGUGGGGUAGUGGCUUACCAAGGCUUUGACGGGUAGCCGGCCUGAGAGGGUGACCGGCCACAUUGGGACUGAGAUACGGGCCAGACUCCUACGGGAGGCAGCAGUGGGGAAUAUUGCACAAUGGGCGGAAGACUGAUGCAGCAACGCCGCGUGCGGGAUGACGGCCUUCGGGUUGUAAACCGCUUUCGCCUGUGACGAAGCGUGAGUGACGGUAAUGGGUAAAGAAGCACCGGCUAACUACGUG